UGGAAACUUACUAAGUGAUCACUUUCAAAUUCAGAGAAACCCUGGAAUUAACAAAAAUGGGCAAUCCUGAGCCAAAUCCUGUUUUCCGAAAACAAACAAAGGUUCAGAAAAAAAGGAUAGGUGCAGAGACUCAAUGGAAGCUAUUCUAACAAAUGGAGUUAAAUGCGUUGGUAGAGGAAUCUUUACAUCGAAACUUCAGAAAGAAAAAGAAUGAAGUGAAGGAUAAACGUAUAUACAUACGUAUUGAAUACUAUAUCAAAUGAUUAAUGAUGACCCGAAUCCGUAUUUUUUCUAUAAAAAAUAGAAGAAUUGGUGUGAAUCGAUUCUACAUUGAAGAAAGAAUCGAAUAUUCAUUGAUCAAAUCAUUCACUCCAUAGUCUGAUAGAUCUUUUGAAGAACUGAUUAAUCGGACGAGAAUAAAGAUAGAGUCCCGUUCUACAUGUCAAUACCGGCAACAAUGAAAUUUAUAGUAAGAGGAAAAUCCGUCGACUUUAAAAAUCGUGAGGGUUCAAGUCCCUCUAUCCCCAAAAAGACUAUUUCACUCCCCAACUGUUUAUCCGACCCCCU
Molecule: precursor RNA, 567 nt
Filed under: Nicotiana otophora
Lineage: Eukaryota; Viridiplantae; Streptophyta; Magnoliopsida; Solanales; Solanaceae
Also listed under: 2 other names
Description: partial transfer RNA-Leu(UAA)
Rfam family: Group I catalytic intron (bases 1-452)
About the family: Group I catalytic introns are large self-splicing ribozymes. They catalyse their own excision from mRNA, tRNA and rRNA precursors in a wide range of organisms.
Source: RNAcentral